CUGGCUCAGAGUGAACGCUGGCGGUAGGCCUAACACAUGCAAGUCGAACGGCAGCACAGGAGAGCUUGCUCUCUGGGUGGCGAGUGGCGGACGGGUGAGGAAUACAUCGGAAUCUACUCUGUCGUGGGGGAUAACGUAGGGAAACUUACGCUAAUACCGCAUACGACCUACGGGUGAAAGCAGGGGACCUUCGGGCCUUGCGCGAUUGAAUGAGCCGAUGUCGGAUUAGCUAGUUGGCGGGGUAAAGGCCCACCAAGGCGACGAUCCGUAGCUGGUCUGAGAGGAUGAUCAGCCACACUGGAACUGAGACACGGUCCAGACUCCUACGGGAGGCAGCAGUGGGGAAUAUUGGACAAUGGGCGCAAGCCUGAUCCAGCCAUACCGCGUGGGUGAAGAAGGCCUUCGGGUUGUAAAGCCCUUUUGUUGGGAAAGAAAUCCAGCUGGCUAAUACCCGGUUGGGAUGACGGUACCCAAAGAAUAAGCACCGGCUAACUUCGUGCCAGCAGCCGCGGUAAUACGAAGGGUGCAAGCGUUACUCGGAAUUACUGGGCGUAAAGCGUGCGUAGGUGGUCGUUUAAGUCCGUUGUGAAAGCCCUGGGCUCAACCUGGGAACUGCAGUGGAUACUGGGCGACUAGAAUGUGGUAGAGGGUAGCGGAAUUCCUGGUGUAGCAGUGAAAUGCGUAGAGAUCAGGAGGAACAUCCAUGGCGAAGGCAGCUACCUGGACCAACAUUGACACUGAGGCACGAAAGCGUGACAUGUUG
This 763-nucleotide ribosomal RNA is filed under the name Stenotrophomonas maltophilia. RNAcentral's name for it is "bacterial SSU rRNA". It matches the Rfam family "Bacterial small subunit ribosomal RNA", at positions 19 to 771 of the family's 1533-position model. The record is from RNAcentral. Lineage: Bacteria; Pseudomonadati; Pseudomonadota; Gammaproteobacteria; Lysobacterales; Lysobacteraceae.